RNAcentral lists this ribosomal RNA (467 nucleotides) under uncultured Alphaproteobacteria bacterium. Its description in RNAcentral is "bacterial SSU rRNA". It matches the Rfam family "Bacterial small subunit ribosomal RNA", at positions 9 to 524 of the family's 1533-position model. The record is from RNAcentral. Lineage: Bacteria; Pseudomonadati; Pseudomonadota; Alphaproteobacteria.
GAGUUUGAUCAUGGCUCAGAACGAACGCUGGCGGCAGGCUUAACACAUGCAAGUCGAGCGCGUAGCAAUACGAGCGGCAGACGGGUGAGUAACGCGUGGGAAUCUACCCCUUACUACGGAAUAACGCAGGGAAACUUGUGCUAAUACCGUAUGUGGCCGAGAGGCGAAAGAUUUAUCGGUAAGGGAUGAGCCCGCGUUGGAUUAGCUAGUUGGUGGGGUAAAGGCCUACCAAGGCGACGAUCCGUAGCUGGUCUGAGAGGAUGAUCAGCCACACUGGGACUGAGACACGGCCCAGACUCCUACGGGAGGCAGCAGUGGGGAAUAUUGGACAAUGGGCGCAAGCCUGAUCCAGCCAUGCCGCGUGAGUGAUGAAGGCCCUAGGGUUGUAAAGCUCUUUCACCGGUGAAGAUAAUGACGGUAACCGGAGAAGAAGCCCCGGCUAACUUCGUGCCAGCCGCCGCAGUAAG